CUCCUACGGGAGGCAGCAGUGGGAAUAGUUGCACAAUGGGCGAAAGCCUAGAUGCAGCGACGCCGCGUGAGGGAUGACGGCCUUCGGGUUGUAAACCUCUUUACAGUCAGGGACGAAGCGAAAGUGACGUACUGCAGAAGAAGCACCGGCCAACUACGUGCCGGCCGCCGCGGUAAUAC
RNAcentral lists this ribosomal RNA (179 nucleotides) under uncultured bacterium. RNAcentral describes it as "partial 16S ribosomal RNA". It matches the Rfam family "Bacterial small subunit ribosomal RNA", at positions 336 to 526 of the family's 1533-position model. The record is from RNAcentral.